Long non-coding RNA from Xenia sp. Carnegie-2017, 1658 nucleotides. RefSeq lists it as uncharacterized. NCBI's taxonomy places the organism in Eukaryota, Metazoa, Cnidaria, Anthozoa, Malacalcyonacea, Xeniidae. The transcript has 3 exons. The record is from RefSeq and is a predicted model, not a curated record.
ACUCGUUGCUAGAACUCUUCUAUUACAAAAUGUCAUUAUCCCUGCCAACUGUGCCUUGUUUAAAAUGAUCGUUUAAAACUUUAAAUGCGGGUUUGCCUUAAUUCAAAUGAAAAGAUCUACCUGAACAAGAUGAAAAUGGACCAGCAUCUUUUGAUUCUAAUUCUAAAUGCGAGCUAUGGUUCAAGCCAAGAGCAAAUUGGUGUGAACAUGAUAUCAAAUACUCGUGCUAUUGAAAUUACGUUAAAAACGUUGGUCAAUGAAAAAUGGUUUGUGUCGAAACAACUGCAAUAAUGCUGGAAUGUGUCUGUUUUGAUUUUUUACCAUUUUCCUAACGGAAAUUAAUUCCCUCGAGGAAGUCAUUUGGAUUCCACAUACACCGUUGACGAGUUUUCAUCAAAGUUGCAGCUUAAGAUUGCAAAAGAUGUUAUCUGUGAGUUACAACAAUUGCAUAUUGUUGAAUAUAUUGAUAAAUUCAGUACAGCGUGAAUGAAAAAUAUUAUAUUGAAUGCUUUAACGAAGACAUACGAGACACAAAUUACAACUUUACUGCUGAAAAAAUGAUAUACGUACUCAAAAUGUUUUAGUUCACAUUACCGUAUGCCGUAUGUGGUUUAUGGAAUAUUAUUAUCAGUAAUUAACUAGAAUGUUACUUCAAAUAAAACUAACACUUAUGUCAAGAAUACGUCACCCUGAUCUCAAUAAAAUAAAAGUAGAACUGAUUGCCAAUACACGAAUGCGAGACAUUGAUCGGGGUACUCCAACGUUUUCGGUACGAGAAAUCAAGAUUUUGACUGAAGCUGGACAGAUAAUUCGCAACGCUUAAUAAUUAAUCUUGACGAAGAGUUUCCCUUCUACUUCGAUGUGAAAGAUGCGCAGAAAAUGGGUAUGAUCUAAGAGUACAGUUGAACUCAAAUUUGCUGACAAACUACUUCAAAAACAGUGAAAGGCCCCCAUAAUUCAGUGAAAUAACAUCAUUUGCACAGUUCUCAAGAAUGGAACAUGUUGCUGAUAAUUUUGUAUGUGUGCAUUUCUUUUUGUCCAUUAUCGUUUUCUGCCAUGAAUGUCAUGGAUUACGUUUUCAGUUUGUACCUUUGACUGUAAGUCAAAAACGCUGCCAUCGAGAGUGCUGCCGGAAUACAUGCCUGUGGAAAAAAAAUGAAUAUGAGGAAUGAAUGGUAGAAAAAUGCCAUCAAUUCAUGUUCUUUUUCUUGUGUAAUUCUGGAUCGUGUUCUUUUACGCUGAUAAUUCUGAGCGUGCUUAAACUGAAGUUGUCAUGGCUGCAGAACUAGUUAUCACAGACUUUCCUCACCUGGUUUUGCAUUUUUUUUCUGGUGCACGUAAAAGUUAAUGUUCAUUUUUAUAUAAUUGGUUGUGUUCAAGAUUCAAAAGGUGUGGAUUUUCAGAUGGAAGCCGUCAGUCUAUUGUAAUUAUGAUAUCAGCACCAAAGGCUGUAGCUUCGCCUGAUUUACUUGAAGCCAAUAUGCAUGAGGCAUUUGCAGAUCCAAAUCCAGACGCUUCCACUGCUUAAAAUGAAAGUUUUCCAGAUAACAACGUUAAAGGCUGUACCACUAUACGUUCGAAUUCCGAAAAAUGGCCAUCUGGUGUUUUAAACAUCCCAAAAUCGUGUGCAGCGCAGAAUAACGAAAUAGUAAUUGUUU